CCUACGGGAGGCAGCAGUGGGGAAUAUUGCACAAUGGGCGCAAGCCUGAUGCAGCGACGCCGCAUGGGGGAUGACGGCCUUCGGGUUGUAAACUCCUUUCGCUAGGGACGAAGCGUUUUUGUGACGGUACCUGGAGAAGAAGCACCGGCUAACUACGUGCCAGCAGCCGCGGUAAUACGUAGGGUGCGAGCGUUGUCCGGAAUUACUGGGCGUAAAGAGCUCGUAGGUGGUUUGUCGCGUCGUUUGUGUAAGCCCGCAGCUUAACUGCGGGACUGGAGGCGAUACGGGCAUAACUGGAGUGCUGUAGGGGAGACUGGAAUUCCUGGGGUAGCGGUGGAAUGCGCAGAUAUCAGGAGGAACACCGAUGGCGAAGGCGGGUCUCUGGGCAGUAACUGACGCUGAGGAGCGAAAGCAUGGGUAGCGAACAGGAUUAGAUACCUUGGUAGU
RNAcentral lists this ribosomal RNA (447 nucleotides) under uncultured Corynebacteriaceae bacterium. RNAcentral describes it as "partial 16S ribosomal RNA". It matches the Rfam family "Bacterial small subunit ribosomal RNA", at positions 338 to 794 of the family's 1533-position model. The record is from RNAcentral. Lineage: Bacteria; Bacillati; Actinomycetota; Actinomycetes; Mycobacteriales; Corynebacteriaceae.